RNAcentral lists this ribosomal RNA (623 nucleotides) under uncultured bacterium. Its description in RNAcentral is "bacterial SSU rRNA". It matches the Rfam family "Bacterial small subunit ribosomal RNA", at positions 25 to 608 of the family's 1533-position model. The record is from RNAcentral.
CAGGAUGAACGCUGGCGGCGUGCUUAACACAUGCAAGUCGAACGAAGCACCUGAGAAUGAUUCUUCGGAUGAAGUCUCUUGUGACUGAGUGGCGGACGGGUGAGUAACGCGUGGGUAACCUGCCCUUUUGUGGGGAACAACUUCGAGAAAUCGGAGCUAAUACCGCAUAAUAAUAGAGGAUCGCAUGAUUCUUUAAGGAAAGAUGGCCUCUGAAGAUGCUAUCGCAAAAGGAUGGACCCGCGUCUGAUUAGCUGGUUGGUGAGGUAACGGCCCACCAAGGCGACGAUCAGUAGCCGACCUGAGAGGGUGGCCGGCCACAUUGGGACUGAGACACGGCCCAAACUCCUACGGGAGGCAGCAGUGGGGAAUUUUCGUCAAUGGGGGGAACCCUGAACGAGCAAUGCCGCGUGAGCGAGGAAGGUCUUCGGAUCGUAAAGCUCUGUUGCCGGGGACAAAAGGCAGAAAGAGUGGAAAGCUUUCUGAGUGAUGGUACCCGGCGAGGAAGUCACGGCUAACUACGUGCCAGCAGCCGCGGUAAUACGUAGGUGGCGAGCGUUAUCCGGAAUGAUUGGGCGUAAAGGGUGCGCAGGCGGCCGGGCAAGUCCGCAGUAAAAACUGGAGGC